UUCAGCUCCUAUAUGAUGCCU
RNAcentral lists this non-coding RNA (21 nucleotides) under Mus musculus (house mouse). The record is from RNAcentral. Lineage: Eukaryota; Metazoa; Chordata; Mammalia; Rodentia; Muridae.